RNAcentral lists this long non-coding RNA (285 nucleotides) under Capsicum annuum. Its description in RNAcentral is "long non-coding RNA (CANN_LNC017192)". The record is from RNAcentral. Lineage: Eukaryota; Viridiplantae; Streptophyta; Magnoliopsida; Solanales; Solanaceae.
CAUAUUUCACUGAUGCCUCAUCUAAAUAAGAGGUUUUACAAGUAUUCCCCUCCUAUGUACUAUCUUUAUAUGUAUUAAGGACAAAGAAUUUACUUUAAGUGGGGAUGGGCGUACUUGUACCACGGGGGUUUUUGUUGCCUAUGUUCUUUUCAUUUUGUGUGCUAUCUAGUAGAACUGGCCAUGUCUAGGAUUGCAUUUUAUUUUCUUAGGUAUGAUGUAAAUAUCCAUUUAUUAAUGUUUAUUUAUGAAGUGUCUUUUAUUUUAGCAUCUUGUUGUAUAUAUGGA